UACGGAGGGUGCAAGCGUUAUCCGGAUUCACUGGGUUUAAAGGGUGCGUAGGAGGGCAGGGAAGUCAGUGGUGAAAUCUCCGGGCUUAACUCGGAAACUGCCGUUGAUACUCUCUGUCUUGAAUACCGUGGAGGUGAGCGGAAUAUGUCAUGUAGCGGUGAAAUGCUUAGAUAUGACAUAGAACACCAAUUGCGAAGGCAGCUCGCUACACGAAUAUUGACUCUGAGGCACGAAAGCGUGGGGAUCAAACAGG
This 253-nucleotide ribosomal RNA is filed under the name uncultured bacterium. RNAcentral describes it as "partial 16S ribosomal RNA". It matches the Rfam family "Bacterial small subunit ribosomal RNA", at positions 524 to 776 of the family's 1533-position model. The record is from RNAcentral.